UAAGGAAUAUUGGUCAAUGGGCGAAAGCCUGAACCAGCCAUCCAGCGUGCAGGAAGAAGGCCCUAUGGGUUGUAAACUGCUUUUAUCAGGGAAGAAACCCUUGGAUUGACUCCGAGGCUGACGGUACCUGAAGAAUAAGCACCGGCUAACUCCGUGCCAGCAGCCGCGGUAAUACGGAGGGUGCGAGCGUUAUCCGGAAUUACUGGGUUUAAAGGGUGCGUAGGCGGCUUGGUAAGUCAGGAGUGAAAGU
RNAcentral lists this ribosomal RNA (250 nucleotides) under uncultured bacterium. RNAcentral describes it as "partial 16S ribosomal RNA". It matches the Rfam family "Bacterial small subunit ribosomal RNA", at positions 355 to 601 of the family's 1533-position model. The record is from RNAcentral.